UAGGGAAUCUUGCGCAAUGGGCGAAAGCCUGACGCAGCAACGCCGCGUGGGGGAUGAAGGCCUUCGGGUUGUAAACUCCUUUUAGUGGGAACGAAAUUGACGGUACCCACAGAAAAAGCCCCGGCUAACUACGUGCCAGCAGCCGCGGUGAUACGUAGGGGGCGAGCGUUGUCCGGAUUUACUGGGCGUAAGGAGCUCGUAGGCGGUUUAGUAAGUCGGGUGUGAAACCUCUAGGCUUAACCUAGAGACGCCACUCGAAACUACUAUGACUAGAGUCUGGUAGGGGACCAUGGAAUUCCUGGUGUAGCGGUGAAAUGCGCAGAUAUCAGGAGGAACACCAGUAGCGAAGGCGGUGGUCUGGGCCAGUACUGACGCUGAGGAGCGAAAGCGUGGGGAGCGAACAGGAUUAGAUACCCUGGUAGUCCACGCCGUAAACGGUGGGCACUAGGUGUGGGACCCUAUCGACGGGUUCCGUGCCGCAGCUAACGCAUUAAGUGCCCCGCCUGGGGAGUACGGCCGCAAGGCUA
RNAcentral lists this ribosomal RNA (527 nucleotides) under uncultured bacterium. RNAcentral's name for it is "bacterial SSU rRNA". It matches the Rfam family "Bacterial small subunit ribosomal RNA", at positions 355 to 896 of the family's 1533-position model. The record is from RNAcentral.